Long non-coding RNA from Drosophila persimilis, 1020 nucleotides. RefSeq lists it as uncharacterized. The record is from RefSeq and is a predicted model, not a curated record. Lineage: Eukaryota; Metazoa; Arthropoda; Insecta; Diptera; Drosophilidae. The transcript has 5 exons.
GCACGAAAUUGUGUCUCCCCCAAAAAGCAACCAAAGAAUAUCCAAUCAAUAUGAGCGAAGCAAAGAACCUCAUGACCACCUUCGGCAUCCUGGCCUUCCUGCUCUUCUGCCUGUACCUCAUCUAUGCAGUAUUGUAGACUGCCAGGGCCACUAGGAGGUCCUUUGAGCAGGAAUAUGGGCAACCAACAACAACAACAACAAAACCUAUCAAAAUGAAUGAAGCCAGAAGUUUGUUCACCACCUUCCUGAUCCUGGCCUUCUUGCUGUUUCUGCUCUAUGCCUUCUACGAAGCCGCUUUCUAAACAACCCCACCCAUCAACCCAAUCAAUCAUCAAUCAAUCAAUCAAGGAUAGCUUACAUGUUGAAUUUCAAUUCCAAGCCAAAUCAUGAACAACUUGUGGCCUAGGAGGAGUUUUAGGACCUUACGCGUUUAAGAUGUUAGCAUUUAAUGGAUUUCUACUAGUAACCUAAGCCAGAUGACGUCAAAGCAACCAGCUGCCAAAUGUCAGGCCCCGCGAUUAGUUUAGCACAGUUCUUAGGGGGCUCGCCGUCUUCAGCAUCAGCAUUAUCGUUCUGGUGAUGAUGAUGAUGAUGAUCAUGAUGAAUGGUCCACCCAUGCUGAGAGGGCUGCGCUAGAUUUGUUCCAUCUUCGCGGCGGUGCAAGAUCGAUUCAUCCUCAAGGCUCUGUCGGCCACGGCGUCAUCUGUUCUAAUCAUAAAUUUAAUUUUAUGAAUUCUUUUUCGUUUUCGUUUCGCAAUGGAAUUGACUUAAUUUGCAAUUUAUAGACCAUGAUGCACAGCAGCAAGAACAACAGCCACAGCCAUCAAUAAGAACAUUCAAGAAUUUGGUUAUUAUUUCAUUGUUAAACCACAAAUUUAUUUCGCAUUCGUAUUUAGUAAGACUUACAUAAUGUAUAACUGCAUUUUACUUGACUUUUCUUUAAUUUAUUGUGAAUAACAAAGCAAAUGCACAUGCAACAAAACAACAAAAGCAACAACAACAACAGCAACCUACUGCAGG